AUCUACGGCCAUACCACCCUGAACACGCCCGAUCUCGUCUGAUCUCGGAUGCUAAGCAGGGUCAGGCCUGGCUAGUACCUGGAUGGGAGAAA
RNAcentral lists this ribosomal RNA (92 nucleotides) under Oryctolagus cuniculus (rabbit). Lineage: Eukaryota; Metazoa; Chordata; Mammalia; Lagomorpha; Leporidae. The record is from RNAcentral.